This is a small nuclear RNA of Suncus etruscus (white-toothed pygmy shrew), 104 nucleotides long. Lineage: Eukaryota; Metazoa; Chordata; Mammalia; Eulipotyphla; Soricidae. The record is from RefSeq and is a predicted model, not a curated record.
GUGCUCGCUUCGGCAGCAUAUAUACUAAAAUUGGAAUGCCGUAGAGAUUAGCAUGGCCCCUGCACAAGGAUGGCAUGCAAAUUUGUGAAGCAUUCCGUAUUUAA